GACGAACCGUGCGAACGUUGUUCGGAAUCACUGGGCUUAAAGGGCGCGUAGGCGGCUGCGUAAGUCUCGGGUGAAAUCUUUCGGCUCAACCGGAAACGUGCCUGGGAUACUGCGCAGCUGGAGGGAGGUAGGGGCGGACGGAACUUCCGGUGGAGCGGUGAAAUGCGUUGAUAUCGGAAGGAACGCCGGUGGCGAAAGCGGUCCGCUGGACCUCUACUGACGCUGAGGCGCGAAAGCCAGGGGAGCAAACGGG
RNAcentral lists this ribosomal RNA (253 nucleotides) under uncultured bacterium. Its description in RNAcentral is "partial 16S ribosomal RNA". It matches the Rfam family "Bacterial small subunit ribosomal RNA", at positions 524 to 776 of the family's 1533-position model. The record is from RNAcentral.